GGGUAACCUCCUGGGAAGUCCUCGUGUUGCAUCCCC
Molecule: ribosomal RNA, 36 nt
Filed under: Epimedium pubescens
Lineage: Eukaryota; Viridiplantae; Streptophyta; Magnoliopsida; Ranunculales; Berberidaceae
Source: RNAcentral